Molecule: long non-coding RNA, 229 nt
Filed under: Lupinus angustifolius (narrow-leaved blue lupine)
Lineage: Eukaryota; Viridiplantae; Streptophyta; Magnoliopsida; Fabales; Fabaceae
Description: long non-coding RNA (LANG_LNC002972)
Source: RNAcentral
UGAUGGUGGUGGCUGGAAUGGGUUUGGGAAGAGUGGUGGUGGACUUGGUGGCUGAAAUGGGUUAGGGAAGAGUGGUGGUGGAGAUGGUGGUUGGAAUGGGUUAGGAAGCAAAGGUGGUGGCUGAAAUGGGUUAGGAAUUAAAGGUGGUGGCUGAAAUGGGUUAGGAAUUAGAGGUGGCUGAAAUGGGUUAGGGAUAAUUGGUGGGAAAAAUGGGUUUGUUGGAAAAAAG